AGAGUUUGAUCCUGGCUCAGGAUGAACGCUGGCGGCGUGCUUAACACAUGCAAGUCGAGCGAAGCGGUUGUGCGGAAUUUUUCGGAAGGAAGCAUAGCUGA
Molecule: ribosomal RNA, 101 nt
Filed under: uncultured bacterium
Lineage: Bacteria
Description: partial 16S ribosomal RNA
Source: RNAcentral